GUCAUUCACCUCGCCAACCCCACCUCGAGUCACAAGACGCGCCACAUUCCUGGGAGCAGGAAAUGGACACAAAGAGCCACCGUGUUUGGCAACACUGACUCAUUCGGCUGUGACCCCGUACGUCAUUCUUUUAUUUUUUUCCCUCGGUGUGUCCAAAUGAUGAUUAAUAUCUGUUUUCUAUCUCCGCGCUGAAUGGUCGCCGCGGCAAACAAGAGCACCUCUUGUUUGGAGGAAGAAGGGAAUUCCAGGCUCCCAGGCUCCGGGACCUCGUAAAGGCUAAAUUGGAUAAUUUGAGGGAAAACGGACAGAGGUCAUAUCUCAUUUCCAUCUUUCUUUUUCUUGAGAUUCAAAGAUAGUCACGCAAGUCACUCGGCGUGCCGAGGGUUUGUUUUUGCUUAAUGCUGCUUCACAAAGACGGAUCAAACCGCUGCGACAAAAAGGGCGACGGAGAAGUCGGCUCACCUCAUCAACCGCCAUAAUCGCCAUUGUAACAACCGCGCUUUGUCGCCUGAAUGGAGCAAAGCGCCGUGAUUUUGCAACAACAAAACGAAUCCUCCAGGGAGCCAGUUGCUGCCCCGCCGGUCGGCCCACCUCCGCCGCCGCCGCCGCCGCACAAAGCCGCGCACAAGGACCCGCGGACAAUAAACAGAAACAGUAGGAACCCUUCCCUAAUUUGACUUGCUCCACAGGUGGUCGCCAGCUGCCGGCGAACAGGUUACCGGGGGCCCCGGCGGAGGAGAGGGGACUUUCAUUUCAAGCGGAACAAUGGGCAACCGCUCAGGUCCCAAAACCAGGAGGUCUUUCUCCAUUUUAUUUUUAUUUGGCAGCGCCUGGAGGGGGAAAGACCCGGCUACGCUUGCGGCUGGAGGCCUGCUUUUACUCAGCCAAUGAGAAGGCAAACAGCAGAACUCAUUUAACUCAUAAUUACAUGGCUCCUCAAACUGAAUGGGGCUUCAGUGUUGGAAAUGGCCAAUGGUCAUCCUCUUAAAAUCCUUGAAAUCCCAUGAAUGUGCCACCGUACCUCAGCGAAUCUGCACAUCCAGAUUAAUCGCGUUACUGCUGAAGCAACCGCCGCCGACCCAGAUGAACGCAUGAAGACGGCCUUUUGUCUUUGAUGUGGAGACACUCGGGCACAUGGUCGGAUUCAAGUGACUCGUCUCCCCCAUGAAUGGAAGAUGAAUUUGAGCAGAAGAUGCCCGCAGGCAAAGGGGCUUUUCCCGAUAAUCCCUGGUGAGAUCUUGUAUGUGGAAGCUCUGAUCUCCUGAGGCGGAAACAGACACCUGACCACCCAGUGAAAUGACCCCCAGAUGGUAAAAAUAAUCGUUGGAACGUGAGACGCAACAUCGCUGUGUGUCUCCGGGGAUGAUCCAAGAGUCCAAGACGUUAAACUCUACUGGCCGCCACCGGGACUGCAACCGCAUCGCUGGCACGUGGGCUACAAUGGACGACAAGCAGCAAUUUGUUUUAUGCAAAUGGGGCGCGAUGGCGUCCAAAAUGACAGGGAGAAUUGUGGAAAUUGUCGUUGAAACGGCCUCGGAAAAGCAACCGUUUUUCUUGGCAGCAGCAGAAACGGUGGUUGCUGGCACGCGGCGCGUUCAUUGGCCUCGGCUAAUAUCCGUUCUGUUUGGUUCAGUGGAGUUUCUGUCUGAUCCAACCACACAGCGUCCAAAAGUGGAUUCAACCACAAGAAGAACGCAACUUUCUUAUCUGUAACGGCCCCACAGGAACAAUUAAAUUCACUUCUUGGCACCAGAUGGGAGGAAGAAUUGUACACUUUUGUUUCUCACAUUAAUGUAGAGUGAUUAUUUCUCACUUUUGAAACAAUACAAACGCUGGAUGGUAAUAAAAGCAAAUGUAAAAUAAUUCUAGAGUUUUUAGAGUCAAACUGGUUUCCUUCACAGUUCAUCCGGGGCUGCGUUUGACGCGCCGUGGCGGCGGCGGCGGCGUGCCGUCCCUUUCGGGGUCACCUUAAACCGCGGUCAGGGUGCUCAGCUUCUCCCCUCGGAGCCC
Long non-coding RNA from Gasterosteus aculeatus aculeatus (three-spined stickleback), 2010 nucleotides. NCBI's taxonomy places the organism in Eukaryota, Metazoa, Chordata, Actinopteri, Perciformes, Gasterosteidae. The record is from Ensembl.